Molecule: ribosomal RNA, 468 nt
Filed under: uncultured bacterium
Lineage: Bacteria
Description: partial 16S ribosomal RNA
Rfam family: Bacterial small subunit ribosomal RNA
Source: RNAcentral
GAUGAACGCUGGCGGCGUGCUUAACACAUGCAAGUCGAACGGAAAGGCCCUGCUUUUGUGGGGUGCUCGAUUGGCGAACGGGUGAGUAACACGUGUGUAUACUGCCCUUGUCUUUGUGAUAUCUUCUGGAAACUCGGGCUAUUAUCGGAUAGGAUCUCCUGCUCCAUGGUGGGGGUUGGAAAGUUUCGGCGGUUGGGGAUGGUCUCGCGGCUUAUCAGCUUGUUGGUGGGGUUGUGGCUUACCAAGGCUUUGACGGGUAGCCGGCCUGAGAGGGUGACCGGCCACAUUGGGACUGAGAGACGGCACAGACUGCUACGGGAGGCAGCAGGGGGGAAUAUUGCACAAUGAGCGGAAGCCUGAUGCAGCAACGCCGCGUGCGGGAUGACGGCCUUCGGGUUGUAAACCGAUUUCGCCUGUGACGAAGCGUGAGUGACGGUAAUGGGUAAAGAAGCACCGGCUAACUACGUG